Molecule: ribosomal RNA, 814 nt
Filed under: Escherichia coli
Lineage: Bacteria; Pseudomonadati; Pseudomonadota; Gammaproteobacteria; Enterobacterales; Enterobacteriaceae
Description: partial 23S ribosomal RNA
Rfam family: Bacterial large subunit ribosomal RNA
Source: RNAcentral
CCGGUAAACGGCGGCCGUAACUAUAACGGUCCUAAGGUAGCGAAAUUCCUUGUCGGGUAAGUUCCGACCUGCACGAAUGGCGUAAUGAUGGCCAGGCUGUCUCCACCCGAGACUCAGUGAAAUUGAACUCGCUGUGAAGAUGCAGUGUACCCGCGGCAAGACGGAAAGACCCCGUGAACCUUUACUAUAGCUUGACACUGAACAUUGAGCCUUGAUGUGUAGGAUAGGUGGGAGGCUUUGAAGUGUGGACGCCAGUCUGCAUGGAGCCGACCUUGAAAUACCACCCUUUAAUGUUUGAUGUUCUAACGUUGACCCGUAAUCCGGGUUGCGGACAGUGUCUGGUGGGUAGUUUGACUGGGGCGGUCUCCUCCUAAAGAGUAACGGAGGAGCACGAAGGUUGGCUAAUCCUGGUCGGACAUCAGGAGGUUAGUGCAAUGGCAUAAGCCAGCUUGACUGCGAGCGUGACGGCGCGAGCAGGUGCGAAAGCAGGUCAUAGUGAUCCGGUGGUUCUGAAUGGAAGGGCCAUCGCUCAACGGAUAAAAGGUACUCCGGGGAUAACAGGCUGAUACCGCCCAAGAGUUCAUAUCGACGGCGGUGUUUGGCACCUCGAUGUCGGCUCAUCACAUCCUGGGGCUGAAGUAGGUCCCAAGGGUAUGGCUGUUCGCCAUUUAAAGUGGUACGCGAGCUGGGUUUAGAACGUCGUGAGACAGUUCGGUCCCUAUCUGCCGUGGGCGCUGGAGAACUGAGGGGGGCUGCUCCUAGUACGAGAGGACCGGAGUGGACGCAUCACUGGUGUUCGGGUUGUCAUGCCAAU